GCUCAGUAGUGCUUCGCCACUACCGUAGCUGGCGGAAAUAGCUUAAUUGGUAGAGCAUAGCCUUGCCAAGGCUGAGGUUGAGGGUUCAAGUCCCUCCAUCCGCUCCCGGCUUCGUCC
RNAcentral lists this transfer RNA (117 nucleotides) under Helianthus annuus (common sunflower). Its description in RNAcentral is "hypothetical non coding rna". The stretch from base 32 to 104 matches the Rfam family "tRNA". Rfam says of the family: Transfer RNA (tRNA) molecules are approximately 80 nucleotides in length. Lineage: Eukaryota; Viridiplantae; Streptophyta; Magnoliopsida; Asterales; Asteraceae. The record is from RNAcentral.